CCUACGGGGUGCAGCAGUGAGGAAUAUUGGUCAAUGGACGAGAGUCUGAACCAGCCAAGUAGCGUGAAGGAUGACUGCCCUAUGGGUUGUAAACUUCUUUUAUAUGGGAAUAAAAUGUUCCACGUGUGGGAUUUUGUAUGUACCAUAUGAAUAAGGAUCGGCUAACUCCGUGCCAGCAGCCGCGGUAAUACGGAGGAUCCGAGCGUUAUCCGGAUUUAUUGGGUUUAAAGGGUGCGUAGGUGGAUUGUUAAGUCAGUUGUGAAAGUUUGCGGCUCAACCGUAAAAUUGCAGUUGAAACUGGCAGUCUUGAGUACAGUAGAGGUGGGCGGAAUUCGUGGUGUAGCGGUGAAAUGCUUAGAUAUCACGAAGAACUCCGAUUGCGAAGGCAGUUCACUGGACUGCAACUGACACUGAGGCUCGAAAGUGUGGGUAUCAAACAGGAUUAGAUACCCUGGUAGUC
Molecule: ribosomal RNA, 460 nt
Filed under: uncultured bacterium
Lineage: Bacteria
Description: partial 16S ribosomal RNA
Rfam family: Bacterial small subunit ribosomal RNA
Source: RNAcentral